Bactrocera dorsalis (oriental fruit fly) is the source of this 873-nucleotide long non-coding RNA. RefSeq lists it as uncharacterized. The record is from RefSeq and is a predicted model, not a curated record. NCBI's taxonomy places the organism in Eukaryota, Metazoa, Arthropoda, Insecta, Diptera, Tephritidae. The transcript has 2 exons.
UUUUUUUUAGAGAUUUAUUGAUCAGUGCUAGUAUAAAAAAAAAAAAAAUUUUAAAUAAAAAAUUAAGUCUAGAGGUACAUAAUGCCAAUGCAAAGUGUUCGGAUACACGAAUUACCACACUUGAUAUAAAUGGUUAUUUUUAUCUCGUGGUUAUUUUUAAAUCAGUAUGUACAUACAUACAUAUAAAGUCUAUAAUGAUAAUAGUGUGUAUCCGUCGAAAUCUGAAGUCAUACGAAUAGAGACCUAAACAAUUUCUGUUUCUAAUGCUUUUGUUUCAAUUAUAAGGGAUAUGACCUAUACUCAGAGAACGUUUAAAUAUAUUUAAUGUUCUCUGACAGACCUGACUAAUGGUUCAAAUUUUGACCUCAGUCAGUGUCAGAGCACUAUUACGUGGAAGGCUGUCAGCAAAGUGCCGAGAAUUUGUAAUGCCUUUCCGAUUUCAUAAACAAAUAUCUCAAAAAUAAUGAAAAAUAAUUGCCAUUCGGCAUGAGUCAACAGAAAAUACUGAGUUUUCACAGCUUUACACAUCAUAAAUUAUUGUUUAAAAGUCUGCUACAGAAAACAGAGACGAAAAUUUGGCAAAUGUUGCAUAAAUACGUGGCGCGUUCCAUAUUAUCUGCGGUUCAGCCGCAAGCAAUGCGAAACGGAAUAUUUAAGCGCGCAUAUGAGGCCACUAGAGCUGGUCCACCAAAAUACCCAAUAAGCAAUCUUGAUUUCAUUCUACUCGGUGGAGGUUUCAUCUUUACCAUCUGCAUAAUGCCAAUCUGGGGCUUAAAGCAGGUACCGAAAUGGUCGGAAAUUCACAAUUCAUCAUAAAAUAUAUGUAUAUUUGUAUUAGAAAUCGGUACUUAAUAAAUGGAAGUAUUGAAAAGU